GUCCGCGGGAGCUAGACUGUGGGGAGCUGUGCAGGCUGCGGGGCUGUCUUCCAGCCAGUCCAGCACCAGGCGCCUCAGCCCGCAGCCCUCAGCCAGGAUGCUCCUCAGCUUCCGCAGGAACCGCCGGAGCCAGUUCAACCACAUCAUCCAUGGCUUCCUCCCUGCAGCCAGCAUUGCUCCGAAGCCAGCUGUGCCACGCACACCCCCUCCCCGAAGCCCCAACCCCUCUCCAGAGAGGCCCAGAUCUGCUCUGGCUGCAGCCAUCCUGGCAACCACCUUGACUGGACAGACAGUUGCCAUUCCUCAGCCUCGCCAGAGAUCCCGGUCUGAGAGUGAUGCCUCCCAAGUUGAAAAGGACAGCUUCAUCGAGCCAUAUGCCACCACCUCAGAGCUGAGGCUUCGGCAAAGCUGGCAGAAUGAGCCGAAAAGGACUUCCUUGCCGUCCUUUGAGACGUUGGGCUACCGGGAGGAUGAAGAUGCUGAAACACAGGUGUCCAGCAGCUGCAGGGAGUCGGAGUCCACCACCUGGAAGGAUGUGGGAGACGGCAGAGGUGCAGCGUACGCUGUGCCUCUCAGGCGUCAGGUAUCGUCGUCACAAAAGCUGGUGAGAAAAGGUGAUGCUUCUGAGCAAGACUGGCUUUCAGACUCCUCCUCCUCCUCCUCCACACCGCAGGACACUCAACAGAAAGAUGUUAAGCCCUCUGUUCCGAAUCUAGAGGAUGAGAAAGUACCACUGUGUAAAAAGACCCCUCCCUCUCCAGAUGUAGCUGGUAGAAUACAUCAAAGAUAUACAAAAAUAACCAAAGAAAAGUUUGACGAGUUAAAAGAAGAAACAGUGCAUCUUUACACUGCAAACCAAGCCCUCAGCCUUGAACUGAGCACUCUGAGACAGGCAAUGAAGGACUUACAGCUGAAGCUCAAGAUAGUGGAAAAAGACAACAGGAAGCUGAAGGAAACAGAAAAGGCCUCCUCUCAGGAAGUAGUCACACCUGAAUUGCUUUGCUUAAGGAAGCAAAGCCAAGACCUGGUGGAUGAGAACGAGGGCCUGAAGAUGAUUAUCCAUCGCCUGAAUGUAGAACUCAGUCGCUACCAGACAAAAUUCCGGCCUUUGUCUGAGGAAGAGAGUUCCUAUAUUGAAGGCCUCCCAUCUAAGGGCCCCACACCCCCCUGGUUGGUGGAUAUAAAGUACCUCUCACCCCUGUUGCUGGCUUAUGAAGACAGAAUGAAAGAAAAGGACAAACUCAGCACCGCCCUGGAGGAGGAAAUGAAAACCUUUAGACUGCGAGUCCAAGAAGUGGUGAGGGAAAAUGAAGGCUUGCACCAAGAGUUAACUAAGAGAAGCCCCGUCACCAUCGAGGAAUGGAGGCAGCUUCAGACUCAAGCAGAGCUGGUUCUAGAUGAGAACAAGCUCUUGAUAGAGCAGUUGGAGAUCCAGCAAACGAAAGCCAAGGACACCCAGCAGGCGCACCUCCGGGACGUUUCUAAGCUGACUAAACAACUUGUGCUCCUGGAGGCAAAGACUCAGAGCCAGGAAAAGCAGCUCAUGGAAAGCAAGGAGCAGCUGGAGAGCUUGGAGGCCAGAUGCCGAGAGCUCAAGACACAGCUGGAUAGCAAGAUCGCACCAGACGUCCACACAUCAAUUGUCAAUGAACUAAAAAGCCAGUUGCAAAAGGAAGAAGAGAAAGACAGUGCUGAGAUGGAGGAGCUGAUGGGAAAGCUGACAGCCCUGCAGGUGCAGAAGAAGAGCCUGCUUCUGGAGAAGAGCAGCUGGGCCACCAGCAACAGAGCACUAGAGGCUGAGCUGGAGCUCACACGCAAGGCCAACAGGCGAUACCAAAAGAAGAUUGGUGUCCUCAGAAAGCAGGUAGAAAAGGCCAUGGGGAAGGAGAUGUCCGCUCACCAGUACCUGGCAAACCUGGUGGGCUUGGCAGAGAAUGUCACCAAGGAACGAGACAGUCUUAAGUAUUUGAUGCUGGAGAAGCGCACAGCCAGCAAGAACCUGGCACGGUUCUAAACACUUCCACACUGAUUCAAAAAGAUGUCUGCAACAGAUUGUGUGGUCGGAGAAGACAGCUGCUCUCUGUGUCAAGCCAUGUGCGUUCAGAAAGGUCUGGUAGAUUCCCCCAAGCUCUGAAAGCUCAGUGUUUAGAGAUCGAGAAGCACGGGGUCCUCAACAAAAUCCUGAAAGGCAACAUUCGCCUGGGCAGGCUGGAGGAAAGGGUAAAGGGGUACAAGAAGCAGGCGGCACUGAAGCUGGGGGACAUCCAUCACCGCCUGAUGGAGCAGCAGGACGACUUUGCUGGCAAAGCAGCCCAGUACCAGAAGGAGGUGAAGCACCUGCACCACAUGCUGCAGAGGAAGCAGGAGGUCCUGGAUGAGGCACUGCAGCAGAAAAGAAAUAUGGAAGGUGAGCUUGAAAUGGUCCUGGAGUCCACUGCCAAGGAGAACAGACGGAUGCGGGGCCUUCUCCAGGCCGCCCUGCAGAGGAAAGGCAUACAGUGCGCCACAGCUCCUCAAGACACUUGCUUGAGCCGCCUCUCUCAGGGAGACCUGCUAAUUGGCCAUGAUUUCAGCUAUGGUGACGUGCAGCUUCCUGCUACCAGAGUCUGCCAGAGUCUGGGGGAGUCUGUGGCAUAGAUCUCCUGUCUGAGGUGUCUGCCUCCUGCAGGCUGGUGGGUGACUUCUCUCCCCAUGCGGGCCAAUGUGACAAGGAGGCCCAUGGAAGCCACUGAGUGUCACAGGCAAGAAUGAAAUAAACCUGCCCAGGCAUCA
Molecule: RNA transcript, 2772 nt
Organism: Rattus norvegicus (Norway rat)
Lineage: Eukaryota; Metazoa; Chordata; Mammalia; Rodentia; Muridae
Gene: Cep89
Gene name: centrosomal protein 89
Exons: 20
Source: RefSeq, marked validated